RNAcentral lists this ribosomal RNA (465 nucleotides) under uncultured bacterium. RNAcentral describes it as "partial 16S ribosomal RNA". It matches the Rfam family "Bacterial small subunit ribosomal RNA", at positions 339 to 795 of the family's 1533-position model. The record is from RNAcentral.
CUACGGGCGGCAGCAGUGAGGAAUUUUGCGCAAUGGGGGGAACCCUGACGCAGCAACGCCGCGUGAGUGAAGAAGGCCUUUGGGUCGUAAAGCUCUGUCAAUUGGGAAGAAGUUAUCAUGUAUAAACAGUGCAUGGUAUUGACGGUACCAAUGGAGGAAGCGCCGGCUAACUCCGUGCCAGCAGCCGCGGUAACACGGGGGGCGCAAGCGUUAUUCGGAAUUAUUGGGCGUAAAGGGCGCGUAGGCGGUUUUAUCAGUCAGAUGUGAAAGCCCGGGGCUCAACCCCGGACGUGCAUUUGAAACAGUAAGACUUGAGUACGGGAGAGGAAAGCGGAAUUCCUGGUGUAGAGGUGACAUUCGUAGAUAUCAGGAGGAACACCGAUGGCGAAGGCAGCUUUCUGGACCGAUACUGACGCUGAGGCGCGAAGGCGUGGGUAGCGAACGGGAUUAGAUACCCCAGUAGUC